This 63-nucleotide transfer RNA is filed under the name Episymploce forficula. RNAcentral describes it as "tRNA-Phe". The record is from RNAcentral. Lineage: Eukaryota; Metazoa; Arthropoda; Insecta; Blattodea; Blattellidae.
ACUUAAAUAGCUUAUGAAGAGCAUAGUAUUGAAGAUACUAAGGAGAUUAAUUAAUCUUUGAGU